GCUCCUUACGUCUUUCGCGAUUUUCCCGCGAAAAAAGCCCAACCAAAAUGAAAGGAAAACUAAUUGAAAAAACGAUGCCCAUGCCAUAAUUUUGUACAGGAAUAUAGAGUAGGUUAAUGAAAAAUAAUUUACAUUUAUUUUUCAUAGAAUUUUCUUUUUAUUCAUUAUAAAAAGAUCGAUAUUCUGACCAUCAUGACUGUAGAUAAAUAUUCAUACAGAAUUCCAUUGAUGUCAAAAGGGAUGGCAAAAAAAGAGUUUUCCUGUUGAAUAAAACCCAAAAUUAUUGCAAACUAUUUUGAAGCAAUAUCCCACAAAGAAAUAACGUAAUUGCCGUAGACUGGAAAAUCCCCUAAUUGUCAGUAGAGCAAUUUGAUUGGGUAGAACGAAUUGACACACGGAUUUUGACGCCAUUGAAAUUUAAAUGUAAACAAACAAGGUCAGAGGGUUCAGUAUGGGACAGCAUCGUACAUUUAGUUACUGACAAAUAAUUAUGAGUUACCAAGCUUGACAAUGCAUGGUAAUAAAAAAUGAAAGCUAAGUGUACUGAAAAAAUAAGAAAAAAAUAGCCUUAAGAUAACGACUUAUCAUUACACCUGGAUAGAUAAGAGUUGUUUUUCGGUCAAAAUGUAGGAUGUAAGAUUGUACAACAAUUGCUAAAAAUAAUAGUUUGACAUGGACUUACCCUGACAUAUUAUUUAAAGGAAUACUUCCAGCAUUUUGUUGGUUCACACCUGCAAUUUCCCAGGGUUUAGGAGGUGCUGCCAUGCCCCCAUGGGUUGAAACGGGUGGUUGAGAAAGUUG
Molecule: long non-coding RNA, 801 nt
Filed under: Mytilus galloprovincialis (Mediterranean mussel)
Lineage: Eukaryota; Metazoa; Mollusca; Bivalvia; Mytilida; Mytilidae
Source: RNAcentral